CGCGAGCCGCCGGCCGCCAGCCGUCACCUGUCGCGGGCAGCGAGCGAACGCAGCCGCCGGCUGGAGGACCUCUAGCGGAGUGCCGGCCGCACGCGCCCGAACAGCCGGUUCAAGUUUCACUUGCUACUAAAAACCAUUGCUAGAUUAUUCCACAGAUGCUCAGUCAUUCUGAGAGAAGGACACCAGUGUGGAAUGAAAAACCUAGUUCUCAAGAAGAAAAAGAAAAUAAGAGGACAAGAAAGAAAAGAGUACCACAGUGUGAGAAUUGAGGGAACAAGGAAGAAACAAGAGGACCUAAAGGAUACAAUAAAAAUACCCAUUAUUGUAUGUCAAAAAAAAUAAAAAAAGAAACAAUAAACAGACACCUGUUUACACCAACUAUCUUACCUGAAGACUCCUUGUUUGAACAGGUCCUGCUGAACACCUGCUUUCCUUCUGGAAUUUUGGUACAUGCCACGAAGAGGGAACCUAAAUGACUGAGCCUUGAGAAAAACCCUGGACUUCUGUGCUCAAGUGAAUUGCACUAAUGGAUACAACUUGGCAAAUUUGUCACACUGCUGGAGGAAGCCAACACAGAAUGUGAGAGAGUGGAAGGGAGGAAAGAAGUUGGAAAAAGAGAAAGAAACAUCCAC
Molecule: long non-coding RNA, 632 nt
Organism: Myotis myotis
Lineage: Eukaryota; Metazoa; Chordata; Mammalia; Chiroptera; Vespertilionidae
Exons: 5
Source: RefSeq, a predicted model, not a curated record